GAUGAACGUGGCGGCGUGCCUAAUACAUGCAAGUCGAGCGAACAGACGAGGAGCUUGCUCCUCUGACGUUAGCGGCGGACGGGUGAGUAACACGUGGAUAACCUACCUAUAAGACUGGGAUAACUUCGGGAAACCGGAGCUAAUACCGGAUAAUAUAUUGAACCGCAUGGUUCAAUAGUGAAAGACGGUUUUGCUGUCACUUAUAGAUGGAUCCGCGCCGCAUUAGCUAGUUGGUAAGGUAAAGGCUUACCAAGGCAACGAUGCGUAGCCGACCUGAGAGGGUGAUCGGCCACACUGGAACUGAGACACGGUCCAGACUCCUACGGGAGGCAGCAGUAGGGAAUCUUCCGCAAUGGGCGAAAGCCUGACGGAGCAACGCCGCGUGAGUGAUGAAGGUCUUCGGAUCGUAAAACUCUGUUAUUAGGGAAGAACAAAUGUGUAAGUAACUAUGCACGUCUUGACGGUACCUAAUCAGAAAGCCACGGCUAACUACGUGCCAGCAGCCGCGGUAAUA
This 514-nucleotide ribosomal RNA is filed under the name uncultured Staphylococcus sp. RNAcentral describes it as "bacterial SSU rRNA". It matches the Rfam family "Bacterial small subunit ribosomal RNA", at positions 37 to 525 of the family's 1533-position model. Lineage: Bacteria; Bacillati; Bacillota; Bacilli; Caryophanales; Staphylococcaceae. The record is from RNAcentral.